This 10172-nucleotide long non-coding RNA is filed under the name Octopus vulgaris (common octopus). The record is from RNAcentral. Lineage: Eukaryota; Metazoa; Mollusca; Cephalopoda; Octopoda; Octopodidae.
GAAUUACUGCUUAUUGGUCUCAUCUCAACAUAGGAAUGGUAAGUGUUGAAUCUUACAUAAUAAUGGUGUUUGGUAAAGUUAGUCUGAAUAAAUGAUAAAAUACUUAGAGACAUAGGUAUGACUGUGUGAUUGAGAUGUUAUCUUGGGGUGUUUCAUUGUGCAGCACACAGGGUAAAUGUCUUCUACUAUAACCCCAGGCUUCUGAGUGGAUUCAUUUGGCAGAAAAUGAAAGCAGCCCCUCAUAUGCGCAAUCAUACAUGUAUGCAUGUGUAUAUGUGCUUGUUUCUGUGUACCCUUGUUUUGACUUUAUGCAAUGAUUGUAAAUGAGUAUCACCAUCAUGUAAGUGAUGUUUGGUUCUAGUCUUCCAUGAAGUAAAUAUUAUCUUGCAUGAAACGAGUGAUAGGAAGUGCAUCCAGUUAUACAAAAUCUGCCUCAAUAAAUUCUGACCCACGGAAAAGUAAACAACAACAAUAACAAUGAAGAAUUUAUAAAAAAUUUUAUUUUCUCCAUCAUUUUGAAAUAUUCUGACUAGUGAAAGUAAGGAAUCAAAUACAUAACAUAAAAUGCUGUAUCUAUAAAAAUAUUUUCACAAAACAUUGAUUAAAAUAGUGUUACGCCAUGCACUCACUCAGGAACCUAAGACAAUAGGCCUUCCGCGACGACGACGAUGCUCAGUCAAAUGGAAGCUCACGACAGAAAGCGGGGGGGUGCUGCAAACUCAAGCCAGAAACCUACACAACAACAACAAAAGAGAGAGAGACAGCGGGAGUUGUGUAAUUUAACAAUUUCUAACUUAACAAAAUCAAAACAUUUCAAAACAAAAGCAUUUAACAACAAAGGUUAACAAACAUUUGACAGAUCAUACACAGAGUUCGAAUAACACUCAAAUACAUUUAAACAUAGUACAACCGUUCGAUUUUUCUAAACAAAUUAAUUAACAGUCUCUUAAAGUUUCUUUCUUUUCUUUUCUCUCUCCUCCUCCAACACAUUCUACAGUUCUUUUUCUCUUUCUUUUCUCUACCUUCUAACACAAUGUUCUUUUUCUUAUAACACAGAGAGUUCAUUCUCAAAGAUUAUUUUUUCUCUUUUUUUUUUCUCCACAAAAGCAAUUAACAACAAAUUCAAACAUAAAUAAACAUUACCGCAUGUUCUUCGUCCGCAACACUCAUCACAAAACCCCCACUAUAUCAGUCCAAAUUCAAAAUGUCUCUCUCUGCCCCCUUCACUGCCAUCUUCCUUACUUCCUCUCGCUUGUCAUUUCUCACAUUCACUGCCUGUCUUCUUCGCUUUGCUGUUGCCUCUCACCAUCUCCACCAUCUCCCUUGUCUGCUCCGCUCACGCUUCUGGGUAGCUGUCCCACAUCGACUGACUGUCUCUUCCCAACUGAACUCCUAACACCAAUGCCCAUCGCCUUUUUAAAGGGUGGAAUUUUUAUUUCUUUUAUCUACUCUCCGUGACCAUGUUGGGAUCCAAUGUCACUUCCUUAGCUCAUUAGUUACCGUGGUCGUUGACAGGACAAAGAAGAUUCCAUUGUCCUGAACAGCUGGAGUGCCAGUUCAACUCCAACCAAUGGAACAAGGGGCACAAUGUUUUUCUGUUUAUUCACCUCCGUAACAAUAGCUUUCAUUUCUUAUAGUGAAUAGUUGAUUAUAAUUCUAGAGAUAAUAGAUAAUUUAUUUAAAUUUUGAGUAGUUAUUUAAAGUUUAUUAAUUGGUUUCUAUGAUAAUGUAGAAAAUUAACUGGAUGGGUUAAGCAACACAAUCCACUCCUCAUGACAAACUUAAAUUAGUUGAUCAAUACAGAUAAUAUAUUAUUUAUUGGAAGAAUAUGAAUAAUAUAUUUAGACAAAACUAUAACUAUACAUAUUGAUUCAACAUGAACAAGCAAGUUCUGGGUGUGUCAAAUGACAUUAAUGAGUUCUUUUUGGUUCACUUGUAUAUACAGUUUGAGUACGAACAAUUUCUAAAAUCUCAAAUUUCUAGACUGAAUUGAUAUACUAGAUAAGUGCCUGUUCCACUCACCUGUUUUAGCCUUGACAUUCUGCAUAAAACAGACGUGGCUUUUAAUUCUAAACCGAUGUAACUUUUUAAUACUAAAGGAUGAAAAAUGUAUUCAAACCAUCAACUUUAAGUAAUCUUACACUUGAAAUGAAAAACGUUUUUAAUGAACCAGUUUUCAUUUCGAUCAAAUUUUCUUGAAAAUGAUUCAUCUUAUAUUCUUUAAAUUUGAAAUGUUGACUAAUUAUGCAUUUCUCUUUACCUUCAGUAUUGUGAUAACUUUCACAAGUUUUUUGUAUUCAUAUUUUUACUUUUACAGGACACUUUUAUCUUUUUUGUCUUCCAAAGUCACAGUAAUAUUCAUAGACAUGGUCAAUAUUUUUUUGUAUUGUCUUUCUCUUAGGUACCUAAUCUUAUAUAUUAUACCAUCUAGCUGUCUGUCACAGCAUCUAUUAGAGGAAGGGAAGAAGGGGAGGAGAAAAAGUUAUUGUUGAAAUUCAGUGAGAAAGAGAGUGAGUGUGUGUUUGUGUGUGUGUGCAUGUGUGAAAGAUAGAUGAUAGGUAAAUAGACAGUUAGCUAGAUAGAUAGUGCUGUCACUAUCUUAUUACAUCACCAGAUGGGACACUUUUGCACCAAGGGAUUCACCGCAACUAGUUGUAUAGUUUGCUACCCAUCGUUGUGAGCAAUAAUUUCCCAUGUAUUUUAUUUUCUGUCUCUAUCAUUUGGCACAAUGAAAGGUAAGUCUGGUGAGAUUGUUGAGAUGCUUGAACAGAGUAAUGUAGAUUUGUGUUGCAUCCAAGGUGGAAAGGAAGUUCAGCUAGGUUCCUCACAGAACAUGGCUAUAAGAUUUUCUGGGUAGGGAACAGUGAUGGGGCUGGGGUCAUGGGUAUACUCCCUGCUGAGAGAUGGGUUGAUAACAUAAUCGAGGUAGUUAGAGUCUGUGAUAAAAUACUUAAGCUUAGGCUAGUGCAACAACAAGGAAUAGCAACCAUUAUCUCAGCCAGGGCUACCCGAGGAAAAGAAAUACUGAUUUUAUGAUAUCCUCUUGCAGACUACCUUGUUGAUGAAUGACAGGGACCUUCUCUUCAUGGCUGGCAACUUCAAUGGGCACGUUGGACAACAUCCAGGGAACUCCCAUGGUGUGCAUGAUGGCAAUGGGUUUGGUUCCUGCAAUGAAGAGGAAACCAGGUUGUUGAAGUUCAGUGAUGGAAAUGAUCUUAUGAUCUGUAAUACUAACUUCAGGAAACUUGCCAGUCUUCUGUUCACCUACCAGUCUGGUGGCUACACUAGUCAGAUUGGCUACAUCCUCACCAGGAAACAAGAAAGGUGUCUACUUAUAAAUGCCAAAACUUCCCCAGGUGAAGAAUGCACCUCACAACAUAGGCUAAUUGUUAGCAACUUCAGUAUCAGGGCUAAAUGGUUGCCCUGAAGAUCAGGGCUAAAUGGUUGCCCAAUGUGGAAAAGAAAGGUCUGAAGGUUUAAGGAUCCUCUGAAUGGAUAGACAUUUAGAGACGUAUUACUUGAAGCUUAUGACGAAAAAGAGGAUAUAGCAUCACAUAAUGUGGAGGAAAACUGGAGAUUCCUACAGGACAACCUGUUGACGGCUACUGACCAGAUCUGUGGAUGGUGCAAAGUCCCAUCUUGACCUAAGGUGACAUGGUGGAGGAACAAUGUAGUUGACAGGACCAUUAGGGAAAAGAAUUAGGAAUGGAAGUGUGGUGGUAGCAGGGAACUGUAUCAGAUAGCCAGAAGGGAAGCUAGGAGACAGGUUUACUUAGCUAGAGGGGAAGCAGAUAAGAAGAAAUUUGCCAUUAUUCUGCAUUGUGAGGACCAGAGACUUGAAGUGUUUCAAAUUGCAAGACUGUGUGUGAGAGAAAAUCAUGAUGUCAUUGGAGAGAAAUGUGCCCACAUGGAUGAUGGCUCACUUGCAUUUAAUGAUGCUACAAAGAGAGAGACUUGGAGAUGCCACAAUGAAAGGUUGCUAAAUGAAGAGAAUGAAUGGGAGAAAGAGAGUCUGCCAAAUGUUGACCCACUAGAGGAAACAGCUGUUUGAAUUGAUAGUAUUGAUAAAGCAAUUAAGGGCAUGAAGACAGAAAAAGCCCAGGCCCAUCAAGAAUCACUGCUGAAAUGCUCAAAAUAUCUGGCGGUGUCAGCUAUAGUCUAGUUACCUGUAUAGUUAACCAGAUGAUACAUGAAGGAGUCAUACCCAAUGACUUGUGUAGCUGCACCAUAGUCAAUUGCUACAAAGGUAAAAGUGACACCUGAGAUAGAAAUAAUUACGGAGGUAUCAAAUUGUUGGAUCAGGUGAUGAAAGUCACGGAGAGGGUCAUAGCCCAACUAAUUAGGGAAAGAGUUAGUUUAGAUGAGAAGUAGUUUGGGUUUGUGCCAGUGAGAAGCACCACUGAUGCUAUAUUUCUGGUAAGACAGCUGCAAGAGAAAUACCUAGCUAAAGAUAAACCUUUGUACUUGGCGUUUGUUGACAUGGAGAAAGCUUUUGACAAGGUCCCUGGUUCACUUAUCUAGUGGUCAAUGAGGAAACUAGAGAUAGAUGAGUGGUUGGUGACAGCUGUACAAGCCAUAUACAGAGAUGCUGUAAGCAAGGUGAGGUUUAGCAGCAGGUAGAGUGAAGAGUUCUGGGUAGAAGUAGGACUUCACCAAGGAUCAGUCCUCAGACCUCUCUUGUUCAUCAUAGUCCUCCAUGCAAUAACAGAGGAACUCAAGACUGGCUGCCACUGGGAGCUCAUCUAUGCUGAUGACUUUGCUCUAAUAGCUGAGUCACAACCAGAACUAGAGAAGAAGUUUCAGGCAUGGAAGCAAGGUGUAGAAUUGAAAGACCUUAGAAUUAACCUAGCAAAAAACCAGUCUUAGUAAGUAGGAAGGUGGACAAAUCACAAAUCCCUUCAGGUAGAUGACCCUGCUCAAUCUGCAGAAAAGGUAUAGGCAAAAACUCCAUAAGAUGGACACAUAAGAGGUGCAGUGAUAUUGAAGGAAGGUUAACUGGGAAGAUAGUUUUUGUGUGUAGAAGAUGUACAGGUGCAGUAAACACCAAAAAUGUACAGAAAACUGAUUCCAUCACAUACCAGGGGGAAAAAUUAGAAGUAGUUAAUAGCUUCUGUUACCUGGGUGACCAAGUCAAUAGCGGGGGUUGAUGCUCUGAGAGCGUAGCUACUAGAAUAAGAAUAAGCUGGGCAAAGUUCUGAGAGCUACCUUGGCCAGUAACAAAGAGCCUCUCAUUCAGAGUGAGAGGGAAACUGUGUGAUGCCUGUGCGCAAACAGCUAUGCUACACAGCAGUGAAACAAGGGCUGUGACUGCUGAGGACAUGCAUAGGCUUGAAAGAAAUGAAGCUGGUACGCUCCACUGGAUGUAUAAUGUCAGUAUGCAUGUAUGACAGAGUGUAAGUGCCAUGAUAAAAAAGUUGGACUUAAGAAGCAUCAGGUGUGGAGUGCAAGAGAGAUGACUGCGCUGGUAUGGUCAUGUGUUAUGUAUGGAUGAGGACAGCUGUGUUGAAGAAAUGUCACACCCUAACAGUGGAGGGUACUUGUGGAAGAGAUAGACCCAGGAAGACUUGGGAUGAGGUGAUGAAGCAUGACCUUCAAACGUUGGGCCUCACAGAGGCAAUGACAAGUGACCGAGACCUUUGGAAAUAUGCCAUGCUUGAGAAGGCCCAGCAAGCUAAGUGAGAUCAUAGUCGUGGCCGAUGCCAGUAGCACAUAACUGGCCUGUUUAAAAGCAACCUUCAAUUGUUGGGUGAUACGCUGUGCUUGUGAAGACUUAUUGAACUGAGUGAAAUCAUACAGGUGGCUGAUGCCAUGCCACCUGACAAACACCCAUGAUGGUGACACAUAAAAAGUACCAUUCGAGCAUGGCUGAUGCCAGUGCCACCUGACUGGCACUUGUGCUAGUGGCAUGUAAAAAGAACCCACUAUAUUCUUGGAGUAGUUGGCGUUAGGUAGGGCAUCCAGCUGUAGCUGGAUUUUUAGCUAAAAAUCCCCGAUCUCGGAUACAGAGGUUCCGGAAAAUUGCCAAAAAUCGGCAUUGUGAAAUUUUUUUCCCUAACACUAACCCUAAAAUCCUAACCCUAACCCUAAAACCCUAAAAUCCUAACCCUAAAACUGUAACCCUAACCCUAACUCUAAAACCGUAAGCGUAAGUACAGAAAUGUCUUGAAAUUUUUGUCCAAAUCAGAUUAGAGCCUGGUGCAGCCUCCCAGCUGGCCAGUUCCCAAUCAAACCAUCCAACUCAUGCCAGCAUGGAAAGUGGAUGCUAGAUGACAACAAUGAUGAUGAUGAUGAUGAUAUAUAUAUAUAUAUAUAUAUAUAUAUAGAAAAUAGUAAAAAGUGAAAAAACUACAGAAGGCUUGUUUUAAAAGGUUAAAAAAUAUAUAUUUGAGUCAAUAUGUCUGAAGAAUGUUAUCAAUUUUUUUCAUACAAUGACAUAGUAUAGAAGUAUGUUGAGAAAUAGACCAAAUUUGCCAAUGAGCCAAAUUUGCUCCAGUAAAGGAAAAAUAUGUAACAGCCAUUAUUUUUAACUUGUUUAUAUAUAUAUAUAUAUGUAGGUCCCGGGUUGAGUCGGGGUUAACCACAGUAAAUAAGGUACUCAAUACAUAGCAGAGUAAAGUAAUUUAUUUUAUAGAAGGAGCUUCUACAGGACUAGAACUGUUUCAUUCAUGUGAAAUCUUCAGGAAGCUGGCUGUCAAAAUAAGGUCUGGUAUUUAUACAUUUAGGCAGAUUUAAUGGGGUGGUGGUGGGUGACGUUUUUUGGGAAAGUUGGUAUUUAGGAGAUAAACAGGUCCCCCACCAUUUUCUCCCAAAUUUGUUUAUUUUUGUAACUUUUUUUUUGCUAAAAAUCCCCAUUUUCAGAUAAGGAGGUUCCAGAAAAUUGCCAAAAAUUGGCAUUGUGAAAUUUUUUUCCCCAACACUAACCCUAAAACCCUAAAAUCCUAACCCUAAAACUGUAACCGUAAGUACAGAAAUGUCUUGAAAUUUUUGUCCAAAUCAUGAUGUCCGAAUUUUUCCGCAUAUUUAGAAAAAAAAAAAAAUUCUUAAAAAAAAUUUUACAAAGAUUUUCGGAAAUUGUUUUCAGAAUCAUAAUAUCCGUACAUAUUUUGAAAAAAAAAUGUGAAAAAAGUUAAAAGUGAAGGAAAUGGGCGAGGGGUAAUUUAGAAAUGUUGAUUUUUGCCAAUUUUUUGCAGAUUCGUAUUCCCCGUCUGGGCUUGUGUUGAAAAAAAAAAAAAAUUUAAGGGUGUUUUUUGGGGGGGUGAGGGACAGACGGAAGUCUUGCCUUUUAUUUUAUUUUAUGUGUGUCAUGCAAACAAAUUUCAUUGUUGCAAGUGAAACUUUUACUUUUAAACGCAUUCUGUGUGGACCUGUGACAAUUGAAUGAAAAUACAAUUUUGGUUUAUCUUCAGUGUUGCUGCCAUCGUUAUAAAGCUGAAUAAUCUUCUAGACACGAUAAAUGUUUGUAUUUGUAUGAUUCUUCUGUGUUUGUAUGAUUACAUUACAUAAUACUUAUCAUUUGCAUAUAUUUUUGAGCGCUGUUCAUGCAAAUACCUACCUGCUCUGUGAAAAACAUAUCAGUGAGUGAAGAAUACCUGUUUCUCUAUAUUUCUUUACUACCUAAACACAGAGAGGACAAACAAGGACAGACAAACAGAUUAAGUCGAUUACAUCGACCCCAGUGCGUAACUGGUACUUAAUUUAUCGACCCUGAAAGGAUGAAAGGCAAAGUCGACCUCGGCGGAUUUUGAACUCAGAACGUAACGGCAGACGAAAUACCUAUUUCUUUACUACCCACAAGGGGCUAAACACAGAGGACAAACAGAGUAAGUCGAUUACAUCAACCCCAGUGCGUAACUGGUACUUAAUGUAUCGACCCUGAAAAGAUGAAAGGCAAAGACGACCUUGGCGGAAUUUGAACUCAGAACGUAACGGCAGACGAAAUACGGCUACGCAUUUCGCCCGGCGUGCUAAAGAUUCUGCCAGCUCGCCGCCUUCUGUGAGUGAAGAAUACCUUUUUCAACUGGGAUUCUGUUUGUUCAUUGUACAGGCAUUCUUUAGAUAACCAUACACAAAAAGUGAAGGUAUUUCUUCGGUAAAUUCCGUAAAUUUUUUUUUAUUUCUUUCAUUUGUAUCACUAGUUCAUGUAUUUUUCGUGUAUUUAUUAUGCGUUUAUGCGUGUAUGUAUACAUAUAUGUAUGUGUAUAUGUGCAUAUAUAUAUAUGCGCAGGAGUGGCUGUGUGGUAAGUAGCUUAUGGAAUUUACCAACCACAUGGUUCCGGGUUCAGUCCCACUGCGUGUCAUCUUGGGCAAGUGUCUUCUGCUAUAGCCUUGUGAGUGGAUUUGGUAGACGGAAACUGAAAGAAGCCUGUCGUAUAUAUAUAUGUAUGUGUGUGUUUGUGUGUCUGUGUUUGUCCCCCUAGCAUUGCAUGACAACCAAUGCUGGUGUGUUUACGAACCCGUCACAUGGCGGUUCGGCAAAAGUGGCCGAUAGAAUAAGUACUGGGAUUACAAAGAAUAAGUCUCGUGGUCGAUUUGCUCGACUAAAGGCGGUGCUCUAGCAUGGCCGCAGUUAAAUGACUGAAACAAGUAAAAGAGUAAAGAGUAAUAUAUUUGUUUAUGUAUAUGUAUACACACACAAACAAAGUAUUUACAUUCACGCACACAUGUGCGCACGCGCGCGCGCGAAUACAUAAACAAGCAAUUCAGCUGAAAAAGAAUUUAAGAAAACAUUUUUUUACGUAAGGUGUUGAACAAAUACUUCCAUUUCUCGUGUACAGUUAUCGAAAGAUUGCCUAUUCUACGUAUCUACGACUUUAAAGACGUUAUGGUAGUAUUUUAGGAAGACUUGACUACAAGUUUUUGCGAGUCAAGCGGCUGCCUUGAGGCUUCCUCGCUAUCUUUCCUGAAUUCCAAACGCACUCCACCUUAUCAAAUAUGGCUCGUUAAAAGAAAUCAUUAUAUAGAUCUAAAUGACUGAUUUUCUAAGGAAAAUUCUCAUCGUGACAACAUCCCGUUUCUCCCAUUAUAUUAUUAUAAAAGAUAUUCAUUAUAUGAUAAUUAGUUAUUGACAUUUGAUGUGUGGUUCUUUGCCCUCUUUUACUUUUUCUUUUCACUAGUUUGCGUUAAGGGGGAUAACUCUGAAAGAGUAUUUUUCAGGAACGGACAGAAUUAGUCGAAUUCGUCAUGAUCUGCACAGAAUUAUAGAAAGACCGGAUCUUUUCGGUUUGAACGGCAGAUUUUAACAUAAUUUCUAGGUAACUAAAAAAAUUUAAACUUCGUAUAAGGGUAGAUGUGUUUAUAAAACAUCUUUUUCUCUUGGCUUUAUUGAGAAAAUUCCAUAGUUUGUAAGAUAUUUGUUGUUUUUUUUCUUCAAUUUUUGCAAUUUCAACCAAUCACUGACGUCUAUUGAGGUAAAAAAAAACAUUCUGUGCCGUAUGAAUAUGUCCCUCGUUUAAGAAACAAAUUGGGUUUAUUUACAUUUGUGAAGAAAAAAAGAUACUCUUCCCCUAACCCUAAAACAUUGAAAUGCAAUAGAUCGAUACUAGGGUCAUAAUUAUGGGUGACAAUUUCAUAUGACACCGCUAGAAAAAACUGCCGUUCAAACCGAAAAGAUCCGAAACAUCAUUACCCCUAAUAACAACAACAGUAAAGACGUGACAGAUCAAGGUAGAACGGCAAAUAAUACUUUGCGAAAGGAAGAGAAGUUUAAGUGGGAAGAAAGAGAAAGAUUAUUGCUGUUAUCGCUGUUGUUGUUUUGGAGCAGUCUGAGAAAAUGAAGACAUGAAAUAUGCAAUUUACACGAGAAAGAAGAGAGAAAGAGUGCGUAUGUCUAUGUAUCUGUGUGCGUAUGUAUAAAAGCAGAAAAAGAAAAAAGCAAUACGUCCUCUUAUUUUGUUAUCGUUAUUUUUAAUGUUCGAUUGUUAAUGCUGAACUUUUAAUAUUCGAUUUGACAUAUAUAUAUAUUCGAUUACAGGUUGUGUUAACCACAUGAAGGGAUGGUGUCAUCCAAGGAAAUACUGGUUCAAUAUAAAUAUAUAUCUGUGUGUGUGUGUGUGUGUGUGUGUGUACCGUUGGCGAUUUUUUUCCUCUGUCUUCCCUUCUCUGGAUCUUUCCUUCUCCUAUGUUUCCGACGAAGAGCUGCGCUUUCCUGAGCGUCCAAUAAUACUAUAUUUGUU